GAUGAAGAACGUAGCGAAAUGCGAUAAGUAAUGUGAAUUGCAGAAUUCAGUGAAUCAUCGAAUCUUUGAACGCACAUUGCGCCCGCCAGUAUUCUGGCGGGCAUGCCUGUUCGAGCGUCAUUUCAACCAUCAAGCCCCCGGGCUUGUGUUGGGGACCUGCGGCUGCCGCAGGCCCUGAAAAGCAGUGGCGGGCUCGCUGUCACACCGAGCGUAGUAGCAUACAUCUCGCUCUGGGCGUGCUGCGGGUUCCGGCCGUUAAACCACCUUCAUAACCCAAGGUUGACCUCGGAUCAGGUAGGAAGACCCGCUGAACUUAAGCAUAUCAAUAAGCGGAGGA
This 337-nucleotide unclassified non-coding RNA is filed under the name soil metagenome. RNAcentral describes it as "partial contains 5.8S ribosomal RNA, internal transcribed spacer 2, and large subunit ribosomal RNA". The stretch from base 1 to 120 matches the Rfam family "5.8S ribosomal RNA", at positions 35 to 154 of the family's 154-position model. The record is from RNAcentral.